GCCAGUGUAGCUUAAACAAAGCAUGACACUGAAGAUGUCAAGAU
Molecule: transfer RNA, 44 nt
Filed under: Hypostomus watwata (armored catfish)
Lineage: Eukaryota; Metazoa; Chordata; Actinopteri; Siluriformes; Loricariidae
Description: partial transfer RNA-Phe
Source: RNAcentral